AUGCAGCACAUCAUCAUUGGCUGCCCAUUUUCUCGGCAAAUAUGGCAUGACGUGCUUGCUUGGGUGCGUGCUACCACCCCCCCCCCAUCCGGAGAGGAGGACUUCCUCCCUUGGUGCAUGGCGGCCCUCGCUGGAUCCCCUGCUGACCUUCGCAAGGGCCUUGCCACGCUCGCAACGCUCACGGCGUAGUCCAUCUGGAAACACCGCAACUGCUGCGUGUUCGAUGGUGAUACCCCCUCCAUCUCGAGGCUAUUUGCGUCUAUCCAGGACAAAGCUAGAACCUGGGCCAGGGCAGGCGCUCGAGGACUAAAUCUUCUGCUAGCAUAG
RNAcentral lists this ribosomal RNA (327 nucleotides) under Triticum aestivum (bread wheat). RNAcentral's name for it is "partial small subunit ribosomal RNA". Lineage: Eukaryota; Viridiplantae; Streptophyta; Magnoliopsida; Poales; Poaceae. The record is from RNAcentral.